Long non-coding RNA from Oncorhynchus tshawytscha (Chinook salmon), 564 nucleotides. NCBI's taxonomy places the organism in Eukaryota, Metazoa, Chordata, Actinopteri, Salmoniformes, Salmonidae. The record is from Ensembl.
CACAGGUAGAGGAGAAGAGGAGAGAGAACACAGGUAGAGAAGAGAGAGAACACAGGUAGAGGAGAAGAAGAGAGAGAACACAGGUAGAGUAGAAGAAGAGAGAGAACACAGGUAGAGGACUGGAGGACAGAGAACAGGUAGAGGACUGGAGGACAGAGAACAGGUAGAGGACUGGAGGACAGAGAACAGGUAGAGGAGUGGAGGACAGAGAACAGGUAGAGGACUGGAGGACAGAGAACAGCUGGAGGACUGGAGGACAGAGAACAGGUAGAGGACUGGAGGACAGAGAACAGCUGGAGGAGUGGAGGACAGAGAACAGGUAGAGGACUGGAGGACAGAGAACAGGUAGAGGACUGGAGGACAGAGAACAGGUAGAGGACUGGAGGACAGAGAACAGGUAGAGGACUGGAGGACAGAGAACAGGUAGAGGACUGGAGGACAGAGAACAGGUAGAGGACUGGAGGACAGAGAACAGGUAGAGGAGUGGAGGACAGAGAACAGGUAGAGGACUGGAGGACAGAGAACAGGUAGAGGACUGGAGGACAGAGAACAGGUAGAGGACUG